UUUUUAAAGACAAAGGGUGGUCCCCUCACCUGCAGCUUCCCCCUUCCGGCUACCGCCUCCGUCCGCGCACUCGGGAGGCCCCACGAUGGCACUGCCUCCUCCGCCACCGUGA
This is a non-coding RNA of Chelonoidis abingdonii (Abingdon island giant tortoise), 112 nucleotides long. NCBI's taxonomy places the organism in Eukaryota, Metazoa, Chordata, Testudines, Testudinidae. The record is from RefSeq and is a predicted model, not a curated record.